AGCUGCGGCUCCCAAAUCUCCCAGGCAGAGAUCGCACUCAAAGAUAUCCCACUCAAUCGCCACAGCAAUCCCCACGGGAACAGGUGCCAGCAGCAAAUCCGGAGCUUGAUGGGAUGCCUUUCUACAGUCUCGCCACCAUCGCUCCUGGCCUUCUCCACCACUGCUUGAGGGAAAGGGCAUAGCCCUAGAGGAGAGCGAGUAAAUGGCCAGCGAAGCUGUGGCUCCCUGUCCCCGCGGGAACAGGCGCCAGCAGCAGAUUCAGAGCCGCGGGCUCUAGAUCCACUCCC
Molecule: long non-coding RNA, 287 nt
Filed under: Selaginella moellendorffii
Lineage: Eukaryota; Viridiplantae; Streptophyta; Lycopodiopsida; Selaginellales; Selaginellaceae
Description: long non-coding RNA (SMOE_LNC001163)
Source: RNAcentral